CCUACGGGUGGCAGCAGUGAGGAAUAUUGGUCAAUGGGCGGGAGCCUGAACCAGCCAAGUCGCGUGAGGGAAGAAGGUACUGAGUAUUGUAAACCUCUUUUGCCAGGGGACAAAGGCGGCCACGGGUGGCCGUAAGAGGGUACCUGGAGAAAAAGCAUCGGCUAACUCCGUGCCAGCAGCCGCGGUAAUACGGAGGAUGCGAGCGUUAUCCGGAUUUAUUGGGUUUAAAGGGUGCGUAGGCGGGAUGCCAAGUCAUCGGUAAAAAUGCGGUGCUCAACGCCGUCGAGCCGUUGAAACUGGCGUUCUUGAGUGGGCGAGAAGUAUGCGGAAUGCGUGGUGUAGCGGUGAAAUGCAUAGAUAUCACGCAGAACUCCGAUUGCGAAGGCAGCAUACCGGCGCCCUACUGACGCUGAGGCACGAAAGCGUGGGUAUCGAACAGGAUUAGAUACCCUUGUAGUC
This 459-nucleotide ribosomal RNA is filed under the name uncultured bacterium. RNAcentral describes it as "partial 16S ribosomal RNA". It matches the Rfam family "Bacterial small subunit ribosomal RNA", at positions 338 to 795 of the family's 1533-position model. The record is from RNAcentral.